Molecule: small nuclear RNA, 330 nt
Filed under: Ochotona princeps (American pika)
Lineage: Eukaryota; Metazoa; Chordata; Mammalia; Lagomorpha; Ochotonidae
Description: 7SK RNA (ENSOPRG00000019322.1)
Rfam family: 7SK RNA
About the family: 7SK was discovered as an abundant small nuclear RNA in the mid-70s but a possible function has only recently been suggested.
Source: RNAcentral
GGAUGUGAGGGCGGUCUGGCUGCGACAUCUGUCACCCCAUUGAUCGCCAGGGUUGAUUCGGCUGAUCUGGCGGUUAGGCGGGUGUCCCCUUCCUCCCUCAACGCUCCAUGUGUGUCCCCCCGAAGCUGCGCGCUGGGUCCAAGAGGACGACCACCCCCGCUAGAGGAGGAACGGUCUUCGGUCAAGGGUGUACAGCAGCUGCGCUCCCCUGGCAGAACCUCCCAACAAGCUCUCAAGGUCUGCUUUUAUGCAGGUGAACUGAGUCACUGUCACCAUACUAAGUCAUCAUAUACAGCAGUCUCUAUUUCCGGGCUGGUUACGCUUUUCUAU